Molecule: small RNA, 156 nt
Filed under: Xanthomonas sp. F10
Lineage: Bacteria; Pseudomonadati; Pseudomonadota; Gammaproteobacteria; Lysobacterales; Lysobacteraceae
Description: sRNA sX11
Rfam family: Proteobacterial sRNA sX11 (bases 1-104)
Source: RNAcentral
GGGCCAGCCUCGACACCCUGUGGUUCUACUCCCCAAGAGACCAUCCCCAAGGGAGCUCAUGUCGUGGGGCCCUGAGCAAGCCCGCUCGCUGGCACUUUUUUUAUCGACCCUGGCCCCAUGGCAAGCGGCAUGCGCGCCCACGGUCGAUCACUCGCU